GUGGGGAAUAUUGGACAAUGGGGGCAACCCUGAUCCAGCCAUGCCGCGUGAAUGAUGAAGGCCUUCGGGUUGUAAAGUUCUUUUGGAGGGGACGAUGAUGACGGUACCCUCAGAAUAAGCUCCGGCUAACUUCGUGCCAGCAGCCGCGGUAAUACGAAGGGAGCUAGCGUUGUUCGGAAUUACUGGGCGUAAAGGGCGCGUAGGCGGUUUGGUUAGUCAGAUGUGAAAGCCCAGGGCUUAACCCUGGAACUGCGUUUGAUACUGCCAAGCUUGAAUUCGGGAGAGGUGAGUGGAAUUCCCAGUGUAGAGGUGAAAUUCGUAGAUAUUGGGAAGAACACCGGUGGCGAAGGCGGCUCACUGGACCGACAUUGACGCUGAGGCGCGAAAGCGUGGGGAGCAAACAGGAUUAGAUACCCCAGUAGUCC
This 425-nucleotide ribosomal RNA is filed under the name uncultured bacterium. RNAcentral's name for it is "partial 16S ribosomal RNA". It matches the Rfam family "Bacterial small subunit ribosomal RNA", at positions 354 to 796 of the family's 1533-position model. The record is from RNAcentral.